AUUGAACGCUGGCGGAAUGCUUUACACAUGCAAGUCGAGCGGCAGCGCGGGGGCAACCCUGGCGGCGAGCGGCGAACGGGUGAGUAACAUAUCGGAACGUACCCAGUCGUGGGGGAUAACUAUCCGAAAGGAUAGCUAAUACCGCAUACGUCCUGAGGGAGAAAGCGGGGGAUCGCAAGACCUCGCGCGAUUGGAGCGGCCGAUAUCGGAUUAGCUAGUUGGUGGGGUAAAGGCUCACCAAGGCGACGAUCCGUAGCGGGUCUGAGAGGACGACCCGCCACACUGGAACUGAGACACGGUCCAGACUCCUACGGGAGGCAGCAGUGGGGAAUUUUGGACAAUGGGGGCAACCCUGAUCCAGCCAUGCCGCGUGUGUGAAGAAGGCCUCGG
RNAcentral lists this ribosomal RNA (390 nucleotides) under uncultured bacterium. Its description in RNAcentral is "bacterial SSU rRNA". It matches the Rfam family "Bacterial small subunit ribosomal RNA", at positions 29 to 420 of the family's 1533-position model. The record is from RNAcentral.